GUGUCAGCCGCCGCGGUAAUACGUAGGGUGCAAGCGUUAAUCGGAAUUACUGGGCGUAAAGCGAGCGCAGGCGGUUAUGUAAGACAGAUGUGAAAUCCCAGGGCUUAACCUUGGAACUGCAUUUGUGACUGCAUGGCUAGAGUGUGUCAGAGGGGGGUGGAACUCCACGUGUAGCAGUGAAAUGCGUAGAGAUGUGGAAGAACACCGAUGGCGAAGGCAGCCCCCUGGGAUAACACUGACGCUCAGGCUCGAAAGCGUGGGGAGCAAACAGGAUUAGAUACCCUGGUAGUCC
RNAcentral lists this ribosomal RNA (292 nucleotides) under uncultured bacterium. Its description in RNAcentral is "partial 16S ribosomal RNA". It matches the Rfam family "Bacterial small subunit ribosomal RNA", at positions 505 to 796 of the family's 1533-position model. The record is from RNAcentral.